GAAAUGCGAUAAGUAAUGUGAAUUGUAGAAUUCAGUGAAUCAUCGAAUCUUUGAACGCACCUUGCGCUCCUUGGUAUUCCUUGGAGCAUGCCUGUUUGAGUAUCAUGAAAUCUUCAAAGUAAAUCUUUUGUUAACUCAAUUGGUUUCUACUUUGGUAUUGGAGGUCUUUGCAGCUUCACACCUGCUCCUCUUUGUUCAUUAGCUGGAUCUCAGUGUUAUGCUUGGUUCCACUCGGCGUGAUAAGUUAUCUAUCGCUGAGGACACUGUAAAAGGUGGCCAAGGUAAAUGCAGAUGAACCGCUUCUAAUAGUCCAUUGACUUUGACAAUACUUUUAUGAUCUGAUCUCAAAUCAGGUAGGACUACCCGCUGAACUUAAGC
This 378-nucleotide unclassified non-coding RNA is filed under the name plant metagenome. RNAcentral describes it as "partial contains 5.8S ribosomal RNA, internal transcribed spacer 2, and large subunit ribosomal RNA". The stretch from base 1 to 105 matches the Rfam family "5.8S ribosomal RNA", at positions 50 to 154 of the family's 154-position model. The record is from RNAcentral.